This is a non-coding RNA of Aedes aegypti (yellow fever mosquito), 72 nucleotides long. NCBI's taxonomy places the organism in Eukaryota, Metazoa, Arthropoda, Insecta, Diptera, Culicidae. The record is from Rfam.
GGCUCGGUAGCUUAGUUGGAAAAGCGCUCGUCUGGUAUACAAGAGUCCUGGGUUCGAAUCCCAGCCGAGCAC